CCAAUGCUUCUAAUUUCAUAGCAAGCUCGCUUGCUAUGAAAUAGGCAACCAGUAAUAUAAGCAAGUGUGUGCUAUUUAUAGCGCUAGCCUACAAACCUAUAAUUAUAUUAACUCUAAGAGAAAUUUAAUAAUAAACGAAGUGAAUUGAAAUAUCUUAGUAACUUUAGGAAAAGAAAUCAAAAGAGAUUCUAUGAUUAGCGUGAGCUAAAAUAGACUAGCCUAAAAAGUCAAAUGGUGGAUAAACUGUUUAAAUUAAAUGGGGAACCUUCCUCAAAGGCUAAAUAUAAUGUAUAAGCGAUAGUGGAAAGUACCGUGAGGGAACCAAAACAAAAACAGUGAUUUUAUAAGCAGUUCGGGAAAAUAAAAAAAAGUUAGAACGUACCUUUUGCAUAAUGGGUCACCAAGUUAACAUUAGAUGCGAGUAGGAGGCUUUGCCCAUACAUACGUAGUUAAACCGAGCGUUAAAAUAACGGUAAGUAUCUAAAGUUAGACCCGAAGCCUGGUGAUUUUACCAUAAUCAGGAUUAUAAAAGUCCGAACGGAAUAUUGUAGCAUAAAUAUCCGAAGAAUUAUGGUAGGUGUAGUGAAAGACAAUACUGACCAGGAUAGCUGGUUUUCUGCGAAACCUAUAACAGUAGGCAAUUUAAGUAUAAUAUCUUAGCAGGUACAGAAUUUAAUCUCAGACAAGACAUAAGGCUUAGCUUGCUAGCAAGUAAAGCUCAUGUUUUAUUUUGUACAAAUUGGGGGAUCAUGAAGAUUUUAUCAGUGAGUAUGUAGACUCGGAAUGGCAAAGAUAUAUCUUAAAUCAUCAGACAUAGAAUGAUAAGGUUGUAUGUCAAAAGGGAAACAGCCCAGAACAAGAGUUAAGGUUCCUAAAUUAUUAGUUGAGUGAAAUUAAGAAGGUUUUUAUUAAAGUCGACAAGGAGAUAGGCUUAGAAGCAGCCAUAAUUUUAUGACCUCGUAACAGAGCGCUUGUUAAGUUUUAAAAGCAUCGAAAAUUUAUCGGAUCUAAACAAUAUACCGAAACCUUGUCCAUAUUAUUUUAUAAUUAAAGCUUAAUUAUAAUUAAAUGGGGUAGCAGAACGUUGAGCUAAAUUAAGAUUUUUAUUUUUUAAAUGAAAUUAUAAUAAUUUAACUCAAGUGAUAAUGGUGACAUGAGUAACUAAAAGAAAAAAUAAAAUUUUUCCGCCUAAAGCUUAUGGAUGUAAUUAAGUAACGGCCUCUAAGUUUAUAUUAUCUAAAGAUUUAAACGAUGAGAUAAUCUUUUGUACUAAGGACGACAUUUUAAGUGAAAAAUGUACUGGAAAAAUAGUACUAAAUUAAUGGGUAUAGCUAAUUAGUUAGCUAUAGCUAUAAAUGAAAAGUAACCGUACCUAGAAUCUGAAACAAGUAAGCUAGUAGAGAAUACGAAGGCGUAAAUGAGCUAACAAUCAUAAAGGAACUCGGCAAAUUGACUACCGUAACUUCGGGAUAAGGAGAGCUCAUUAUUCUUGAUUAAUAUCAGGUAAAGAGGAAGAAGCAUAAAAUAGUGUUGUACGACUGUUUAAUUAAAACACAGCACUUUGCUGAAAGAUUAAAAAUCUAAGUAUAGAGUGUGAUGUCUGCCCGGUGCCGGCUGGUUAACAGAUAUAAUUAAAUAUACUAAUAUUUGAUGUAGACGGAAACCCCGGUUAAAGGCGGCCUUAACGUGAGGGUCCUAAGGUAGCGAAAUGCCUUGGCCGUUAAAUGCGGUCUUGCAUGAAUGAUGUAACGAUACAACAGCUGUCUCUAUGAUUGACUCAGUGAAAUUGGAAUAGCUGUGCAGAUACAGUUUACCUCUAGUUAGACGAGAAGACCCUAUGCAGCUUUACUGUCACUAAUUAUAGAGUAUGAUAAACAAUUUUCAGAUUAUAAGGUAAUUGACGGCUAGCUUGUUCAGCAAGCUAGCUCUAUGACAAUGAGAAUCCUUUAUUUUUUUUUCAUAUGAAUGAAUUGGUUUAGGAUUAUGAGUAGGUAGCGGCUUCUGCUACUUGGCGUAAGCAUUGCUUGCGUUAGGUGUCUGAAGUAUGCAUUCCAGCUCAUGCAUAGUAAAUCAACCUAAUUCAGCUUAUUUUCCUUUCUGCCAUAAGCGCAUAAUGAUAGAUUUAACUUAAAUUUUGAUUUAUGCCAGCUGCAGAAAUAGAUAAGUACCCUUGGCUAAGGAACUAUCGCUAGGGGACAGUUUAUGUGGGGCACAGACCCUGUAAAGAGUAAACAGGAGUGUCUAAUAAUUUAUAAUUAUUUUGUUUGCGAUUUAAGAUAGUGAAACUAUUUUUAAUCAUAUAAAAUUAUUUAUAUGUACAUUCGUUGUAUAUAUAUUUAAAAAAAGGUAGGAUUUUCACUAUAUAGAAAUUAGAGAUAAUAAAAAUAUUAAGAAUAUACGUUUCAGGCUGGGAGGGGGAAGCUCCUCCCUUUGAAAGGUAGCACUAAUAUUUUUUAGCUAUUAAGACAGGCUAUCAAGCUAGGCUCUAAUAGUUAUGUAUUAAUUAUCUAAAAAGCUCAACGGCUAAAUCUUGCCUUACUGUUUGAUUAUCAACAAAUCU
RNAcentral lists this ribosomal RNA (2560 nucleotides) under Fusarium oxysporum f. sp. niveum. RNAcentral describes it as "bacterial LSU rRNA". The stretch from base 1 to 2130 matches the Rfam family "Bacterial large subunit ribosomal RNA". The record is from RNAcentral. Lineage: Eukaryota; Fungi; Ascomycota; Sordariomycetes; Hypocreales; Nectriaceae.